GAUCAAUUCUGGCGGCGUGCCUAACACAUGCAGGUCGAGCGCGUCUGAUUUGAUGCUUGCAUUAAUGAAAGAUGAGCGGCGGACGGGUGAGUAACGCGUGGGUAACCUGCCCUAUACACAUGGAUAACAUACUGAAAAGUUUACUAAUACAUGAUAAUAUAUAUUUACGGCAUUGUAGAUAUAUCAAAGUGUUAGCGGUAUAGGAUGGACCCGCGUCUGAUUAGCUAGUUGGUGAGAUAACUGCCCACCAAGGCGACGAUCAGUAGCCGACCUGAGAGGGUGAUCGGCCACAUUGGAACUGAGACACGGUCCAAACUCCUACGGGAGGCAGCAGUGGGGAAUAUUGCACAAUGGGCGCAAGCCUGAUGCAGCAACGCCGCGUGAACGAUGAAGGUCUUCGGAUCGUAAAGUUCUGUUGCAGGGGAAGAUAAUGACGGUACCCUGUGAGGAAGCCCCGGCUAACUACGUGCCAGCAGCCGCGGUAAUACGUAGGGGGCUAGCGUUAUCCGGAUUUACUGGGCGUAAAGGGUGCGUAGGUGGUCUUUCAAGUCGGUGGUUAAAGGCUACGGCUCAACCGUAGUUAGCCUCCGAAACUGGAAGACUUGAGUGCAGGAGAGGAAAGUGGAAUUCCCAGUGUAGCGGUGAAAUGCGUAGAUAUUGGGAGGAACACCAGUAGCGAAGGCGGCUUUCUGGACUGCAACUGACACUGAGGCACGAAAGCGUGGGUAGCAAACAGGAUUAGAUACCCUGGUAGUCCACGCUGUAAACGAUGAGUACUAGGUGUCGGGGGUUACCCCCCUCGGUGCCGCAGCUAACGCAUUAAGUACUCCGCCUGGGGAGUACGCCCCCCAGUGUGAAACUCAAAGGAAUUGACGGGGACCCGCACAAGUAGCGGAGCAUGUGGUUUAAUUCGAAGCAACGCGAAGAACCUUACCUAAGCUUGACAUCCCUUAGACCGGUGUUUAAUCACACCUUCCCUUCGGGGCUGAGGUGACAGGUGGUGCAUGGUUGUCGUCAGCUCGUGUCGUGAGAUGUUGGGUUAAGUCCCGCAACGAGCGCAACCCUUGUCUUUAGUUGCCAGCAUUCAGUUGGGCACUCUAGAGAGACUGCCAGGGAUAACCUGGAGGAAGGUGGGGAUGAGGUCAAAUCAUCAUGCCCCUUAUGCUUAGGGCUACACACGUUGCUACAAUGGGUGGUACAGAGGGUUGCCAAACCGUGAGGUGGAGAUAAUCCCUUAAAGCCAUUCUCAGUUCGGAUUGUAGGCUGAAACUCGCCUACAUGAAGCUGGAGUUACUAGAAUAAGAAGAUCAGAAUGCUGCGGUGAAAAAGUUCGCGGCUCC
Molecule: ribosomal RNA, 1340 nt
Filed under: uncultured bacterium
Lineage: Bacteria
Description: bacterial SSU rRNA
Rfam family: Bacterial small subunit ribosomal RNA
Source: RNAcentral